RNAcentral lists this transfer RNA (67 nucleotides) under uncultured Blautia sp. It matches the Rfam family "tRNA". Rfam says of the family: Transfer RNA (tRNA) molecules are approximately 80 nucleotides in length. Their secondary structure includes four short double-helical elements and three loops (D, anti-codon, and T loops). Further hydrogen bonds mediate the characteristic L-shaped molecular structure. tRNAs have two regions of fundamental functional importance: the anti-codon, which is responsible for specific mRNA codon recognition, and the 3' end, to which the tRNAs corresponding amino acid is attached (by aminoacyl-tRNA synthetases). tRNAs cope with the degeneracy of the genetic code in two manners: having more than one tRNA (with a specific anti-codon) for a particular amino acid; and 'wobble' base-pairing, i.e. permitting non-standard base-pairing at the 3rd anti-codon position. Lineage: Bacteria; Bacillati; Bacillota; Clostridia; Lachnospirales; Lachnospiraceae. The record is from RNAcentral.
GGUGUAGCGUAGUUGGUUAACGCGCCAGAUUGUGGCUCUGGAGAUCGUGGGUUCGAGUCCCACCAUC